CACGUAGGGUGCGAGCGUUGUCCGGAAUUAUUGGGCGUAAAGAGCUCGUAGGCGGUGUGUCGCGUCGGCCGUGAAAACCUGCAGCUUAACUGUGGGCUUGCGGUCGAUACGGGCAUCACUGGAGUUCGGCAGGGGAGACUGGAAUUCCUGGUGUAGCGGUGAAAUGCGCAGAUAUCAGGAGGAACACCAGUGGCGAAGGCGGCUCACUGGGCCGAUACUGACGCUGAGGAGCGAAAGCGUGGGGAGCGAACAGG
This 254-nucleotide ribosomal RNA is filed under the name uncultured bacterium. Its description in RNAcentral is "partial 16S ribosomal RNA". It matches the Rfam family "Bacterial small subunit ribosomal RNA", at positions 524 to 776 of the family's 1533-position model. The record is from RNAcentral.